UACGGAGGGUGCAAGCGUUAUCCGGAUUUACUGGGUUUAAAGGGUGUGUAGGCGGACUAUUAAGUCAGUGGUGAAAUCCCGAGGCUCAACCUCGGAACUGCCUUUGAUACUAUUAGUCUUGAAUGUUGUUGAGGUGGGCGGAACGGGUCAUGUAGCGGUGAAAUGCAUAGAUAUGACCCGGAACACCGAUUGCGAAGGCAGCCCGCUAAGCAACUAUUGACGCUGAGGCACGAAAGCGUGGGGAUCAA
RNAcentral lists this ribosomal RNA (248 nucleotides) under uncultured bacterium. RNAcentral describes it as "partial 16S ribosomal RNA". It matches the Rfam family "Bacterial small subunit ribosomal RNA", at positions 524 to 771 of the family's 1533-position model. The record is from RNAcentral.